RNAcentral lists this ribosomal RNA (440 nucleotides) under uncultured bacterium. Its description in RNAcentral is "partial 16S ribosomal RNA". It matches the Rfam family "Bacterial small subunit ribosomal RNA", at positions 338 to 795 of the family's 1533-position model. The record is from RNAcentral.
CCUACGGGUGGCAGCAGUGGGGAAUAUUGCACAAUGGGGGAAACCCUGAUGCAGCAACGCAGCGUGGAUGAAGAAGUCCCCCGGUAUGUAAAGCCCUGUCAGCAGAGAAGAAAAUGACGGUACCUGACCAAUAAUCCCCGGCUAACUACGUGCCAGCAGCCGCGGUACUACGUAGGGGGCAAGCGUUAUCCGGAUUUACUGGGUGUAAGGGGAGCGUAGAGGGGAUGGAAAGUCAGUAGUGAAAGCCCGUGGCCCAACCACGGGACUGCUUUGGAAACUGUUUGGCUGGAGUGCAGGCGGGGUAGGCGGAAUUCGUGGUGUAGCGGUGAAAUGCGUAGAUAUUAGGAGGAACACCGGUGGCGAAGGCGGCUUACUGGACUGUAACUGACGUUGAGGCUCGAAGGCGUGGGGAGCAAACAGGAUUAGAUACCCGUGUAGUC